GGAACGUCACUUUUCUUGAAACAGCUGAUUCAUAACUUCACAUUACCAAGAGACAUGAUGGUAAAACAUUAAACUAUCCAAAAUCUAACAAAUGAUUAGUUGUUUACCUUUUCUCUUCGCACUAACUGAAGUUGUUAACGAACCAGUGCUUCUCGUGUCCUAUAUUCCCACUUUAUCCUUUCGUUCUUGUUCUAAUCCAAAGAGCAAGAUUGUCGUCAGUCACUUAUUUUCGUGGUGACAGGAGAGGGAGAAGCGGUUCAGCACGCAGGGGGCUUUUGCGGAAACCAUAGUGACAUCAAAGUUUAGAAUCUUUGAUUUGAGAUUGAAAGCAACAAUUAAAUCACCAACUUAUUUGACGGACAAUUAUUCAAACCAAAACAUACGGAUGUUGAAUGUAUACAUCAUCAAUCUGACAGCUUAUGGAAUAAAAAUCACCAAAACAAGUUAAGAUCUGUUGACCUUUAGCUACUAUCGAUCUUGAUUCGUUUUCGAGUGUCUAACGGUUUUAGUUCAAUUUUGAGAUCUUUUUGGUACGUACGAGCUUAAACGUAAAGAAAACACAAGAUUGUUUACCCAGACUUCGUUGCCUACUGUCUGGGGAGAGAUCGAAACUCUCAAGCUUUCACUAUAUUCUUUAGAUCGGUACAAAGUCUCGGUAUUACCUCAUACUCUCCGAAAUACACCACAGGUAAUCGGAAUCUCUAUAGAAGCAGCUGAGGAAUCUUCUCCGCCGGUUCCUUGCUCUUCUAUCACGAGAUGAGACUCUCUUUCUCUUCGAUCUCAACAACCUUCGUAUCGCCUCUCUCUCUGAUCUGUUUUCUCUGUUUUCAGAUUAUGAUCGCACCAACGAGAUGAAGCUGACUCACCAACCGUUAUAACGGCCUCACCUAACUCUCUCAAAAGGUGACGCGGCUAACGGGCUGUUAUAGGCCCAAUAGGAAGAACUAAGCGCCGAGCAUUGGGCUUGUGUGAAGUUGAAGCCCAAACAACAAAACUCCACCUCUUCGACUUCAGACAGCCCCUCAAACGCUUCGUGACUUCUCUCUCUGUCUGUCGCUGUUUAGUAUUCUCCUUUUGACCUUCAUGAAUCCAGUGUUUCUCCUGAUUACCUCGAAGAUCAAUCAAACACUCUUUCCUUUCAGCUUAUCCCAUUGUCCUGAAUCAAUUCACCUUCUUUCCCCUCUGACCUCUGAAUCUCAAACUCUAUAUGUUGAUUCAACAUUGGUUGAACCCUGCAAUUGAAGCCCCACCAUUUGGUAUGCUUCCCUUUCCUCUCAGGUAACUCCACCUCCUUAGUUAUCUUAGUGUACUCUGCAAACCCUUUUAGAGAUCACCUAUGUGACACCAGCUAAAAACACAAGCUAAUGCUCUCUAAUUUUGCGAGGUAUCACUUCCUUGGAGUUACCUGGACCUGUAGUCGCACUCAGGCGACAUUCAAUCCUUCACGGCAUAGCUGGAACUUGGACCCAGGUACCGUUUUAGUCAAAAAAUCUGCUAGGUUGAUAGACGUGUGAAUCUUAGUUAUAGACACCCAUCCUUUAGCAACAAUGUCUCUGAUGAAAUGGAAGUCUCGGUCCAUAUGUUUAGUACGUUCAUGAUGUACUGAAUUCUUCGAUAAUGCGAUUGCACUUUGAGAGUCACAGUGUAUCCUUACACUGUUCUGCUCAAAUCCCAUCUCUGUGCAAAUGCCUCUCAACCAAAUCGCUUCUUUCACAGCCAGGGUCAGAGCCAUGUACUCUGCCUCUGUGGUUGAAAGAGCCACCACAGAUUGUAAACCUGACUUCCAAGAGACUGUGUUUCCUCCAAACUUGAAGACAAUUCCUGAUACUGACCUUCGCUUAUCCAAAUCUGUAGAGUAGUCAGAAUCUGAAUAACCCUCAAUGCUGAAAUCUGAACUUCUCCUGAACGUCAAACACAUAUCAUAAGCUCCUCUCACGUAUCUUAGAACCCACUUAGCAGCCUCCCAAUGCUCUCGACUAGGGUGUGACAUAAACCGGCUGAUCAAACCAACAGCAAACCCCAAAUCUGGACGAGAGCCAAUCAUUGCAUACAUAAGACUUCCCACAACACUAGCGUAUGGCAGAUUCUUCAUAUAUUCAUAUUCCUCAGCUCUCUCCUUAGGAUGUAAGCUUUGUAGUUUGAAGUGGGACGCUGUGGGGGUAACGACAGACUUAGCUUCAAACAUCCCGAAUGUCCUAAGAACUUUCUCCAGGUACUUCUGUUGAGAUAAUAUCAAAGUUCCCGCUUCCCUGUCCCAAACGAUGUCCAUCCCUAAAAUUCUCGAAGCCUUCCCUAAAUCUUUCAUUUCGAACUCACAACUCAAACUGUUCUUUAAGUCUCGAAUUACUUUCGGGUUUCCAGAGGCAAUCAGCAUGUCAUCCACAUAUAACAACAAGUAGACCGCCUUACUUGUAUUCACAUCUUUCAUGUAAACACACGAGUCAAAUUGACUCUUCUGAAAAUCCUGCUUCUUCAUAAAACUGUCGAAUUUCAAAUUCCAUUGCCUAGGCGACUGUUUCUGUCCAUACAAGGAUUUUUUCAACAAACAGACUUUGUUUUCAUCCCCUUUCUUCACAUAUCCUUCAGGCUGCUCCAUCAGUAUUCUCUCCUCCAAUUCACCAUGCAAAAAAGCCGUUUUUACAUCCAUCUGUUCCAACUCGUAGUCCAGAUUUACCACUAUUGAGAGGAGAAUCCGGAUUGAAACAUGUUUUACAACUGGAGAGAAUAUUUCAUUGUAAUCAAUCCCCUCCUUCUGAGAGUAACCUUUAGCAACCACUCUACCCUUAAACCGUCUGUCUUCUACUCCAGGUAUACCUGGCUUCAACUUGAAGAUCCAUUUGCAUCCUACCAUCUUCUGGUUCUUUGGUCUUUCAACAAGAACCCAUGUGCCAUUCUUCUCAAGUGAAAACAUUUCUUCAUUGGCUGCUUCUUUCUAAAAAAUUUUCUCUUUACAUUCCAUUGCCUCCUUGUAUGACUUAGGUUCCUCUAUCUCGAGUUCAUCAGCUACAAUCAGCGCAUAAGCAACUAGAUUUGCAUCAUCAAAUCUUGAAAGAGGUUUCACAUUUUUCCUUCUUACCCUGUCUCUGGCGAGUACAUAUUCGUCUAGUGACUGAACGUUUUGAUCAGACUUGUGUUCUCCAUCCUGAGAAUCGUCUGAAUCCGAAACAGGCAAGUCAGUAGACUCUGGAUCAAAAUCUUCUGAGUUAUCUGAGUCUGAGAUAUCUCCACCUUGACCCAAAGUCUCUCCAAUCUCAAAACUGUUUUGAGAUGGUCCUAUUAUCAGAUCAUUGCUGAAUGUUACUCGCUUAUUCGUCUUAACUUCUUUUGGUACUGAUGCAGCCUUCUCUGUAGACUUAGCGUUCUUGGAUUCCACGGUAUCUUUGAACACUUCUUCCUCAUGAAACACGACGUUUCUGCUGGUUACACACUUACCUUCUUCAGCAAUCCACACACGAUAGCCUUUUACCCCAAAUGGGUAUCCAACAAACGUUCCUUUAAUAGCUCUAGGACUUGUCUUUUCUUGGAUAGUAUGAACAUAGGCUGAGCAGCCAAACCUCCUCAGAUGUGACAAGUCUGGCUUUUGACCUGACCAUAGUUCCUCCGGUAGCUUAAAACCAAUAGUGGAAUUCGGAGUUCUAUUUAUCAGAGAGACCGCAGUAGAUGUGGACUCUGCCCAAAAUUCUGAUCCCAGUCCAGUCUCAGCCAAUAUACUUCUUACCUUAUCCAUUAUUGUUCGGUUCAUCCUUUCCGACACACCAUUUUGCUGUGGGGUGUAGAUGCAUGUACGAUGACGUCGUAGUCCUGACUCUUUGCAUAACCCAUCAAACCUUGAGUUACAAAACUCCAAACCAUUAUCAGUGCGCAAGCAUUUGAUUUUCUUUCCUGUUUGGGUUUCCACAGCCUCUUUCCAUUCCUUGAACUUCUCAAAAGCUUCGUCUUUUGUUCUUAAAAAAUAUACCCAUACCUUUUUAGAGAAGUCGUCGAUAAAGCUUACAAAGUAUUUACAGCCUCCUAAGCUUUCUGGUGUAGUCGGAGAACCCCAUAAGUCUGAGUGGACAUAGUCCAGAAUAGCCGUAGUCGUGUGCCUAGCAGUAGGGAAACUCAGUUUGUGUGAUUUCCCCAAUACACAGCUUUCGCAAAACUCCAGUUUAUCCAUCUCCUUCAGCUGAAUGUAUUUUUCUUUGCUUAGCACAUUCAUGUUUUUAACGCUCAUAUGUCCAAGUCUGGAAUGCCACAGCUUUGUCAUAUCAUGUUCUGCUUUAGUGAUGUUAGCUUCACACAUCGAUACCUUUCCUUGAAGAUAGUAUAACCCGUCUCUGUAAUUUCCUGUGAUAACCGUUUGCCCAUCUUUGAAGAACUCAAUUCUGAAACCACCGCCUUCAUAUGUACACCCAGCCUUCUCUAGAAGUCCAUAUGAUAUCAGAUUUCUACUAAUACUUGACAUGUAUCUCACAUCUUUCAAAAUUACUUCAACUCCAUCCUCAUUUGUUAUUCGAAUUUUCCCAAUUCCCUUAACUUCACUUUGAGUAUUGUUUGCCAUGAGAACUUUUCCACCUUCUAGUUCUUUGAAGUCAAACAAGACUUUUCUCUGAGGUGUGAUAUGGAACGAACAGCCUGAGUCCAGUACCCAUUCCUCCUUGGUAUCGUGGACACUCACAUUGAGUACAAUAGGUUGCUUCGGUCCUGAAGCUACAUUCACAGAACUUGAGGCUUCGUUCUUCUUAGCCUGAUUGUUCCAAUUUUGCGGACAUUCCCUUUUCCAGUGUCCAUCCUUUCCACAGAUGAAGCAUCCAGUUUUAGUUGAGUUUCUGUUUGAUCUUGACCUGGACUUAGACCUGCCAUCAUGGGACUUGGACCUUCCUUUCGUGUAGUUUCCAUUUCCUCUAUUUCCCUUUUCCUUUUGUCUGCCUCGAGACUCAACAUACAGUCCCUCUGAGUUAGACUUAGCUUUUCCCAAGAGACCUCGUUGUUUCAACUCUAUCUCCUUUGCAUAUGCUGAAGUAGUCACAUCUUGUACCGUUAAUGUGUCUUUUCCAGUUCCAUACUUCAACGUAUGGACCAGUGCCUCAUACUGCGGCGGUAGGCUUGUCAGUAUUUGUAUAGCCUGAUCUUCAUCACUGACUUGUAUGUCGAGGCUUGCCAGGUCGCUUAUCAGCUUCAAGAAACUGUCUAGGUUCUCUUCAAUGCUCUUAGAUUCCUCCAUCUUGUAACUCGCAAACUGCUGCUUCAAGUAGAUGCGAUUUGGUAACGUCUUAGUUUGAUAGUCACGUUCCAAAGCUUUCCACAUUUCUAGAGCCGUAGGUUCUGUCAUCACCUUCCUUAGAAUCAUGUCACUCAAACACGUUCCCAUUAGAUUCUUUGCUUUUGUAUCCUUUGCAACCUUGACGGGAUCAAGAACUGGUUCUGCACCUUCUUCAAGUUUCUCAGAACUCUUAUAGAGAGUGGCAUUUUCUUCCAGCGCAGAUGCUAGCCCCUGAAUCUCGAGCUGACCCAGCAGUUUGUAUUUCCACAAUCCAAAAUCUCCCUUACCAUCGAACUUCUCCAUCUCGAAACGGCCUCGUGUAGGCUCCAUCGAAUACUGAUCUGUUGCCAUUGCUUCCGCUUCAAGAGAUCAGAUCCUCUAAACAACAACUCUCUCUGCAGUCACCUGCCACAUUCACAGCUCACCAUAGCAACACAACCAAGCAAACCAAUAGCUCUGAUACCACUUGUUGACCUUUAGCUACUAUCGAUCUUGAUUCGUUUUCGAGUGUCUAACGGUUUUAGUUCAAUUUCGAGAUCUUCUUGGUACGUACGAGCUUAAACGUAAAGAAAACACAAGAUUGUUUACCCAGACUUCGUUGCCUACUGUCUGGGGAGAGAUCGAAACUCUCAAGCUUUCACUAUAUUCUUUAGAUCGGUACAAAGUCUCAGUAUUACCUCAUACUCUCCGAAAUACACCACAGGUAAUCGGAAUCUCUAUAGAAGCAGCUGAAGAAUCUUCUCCGCCGGUUCCUUGCUCUUCUAUCACGAGAUGAGACUCUCUUUCUCUUUGAUCUCAACAACCUUCGUAUCGCCUCUCUCUCUGAUCUGUUUUCUCUGUUUUCAGAUUAUGAUCACACCAAGGAGAUGAAGCUGACUCACCAACCGUUAUAACGGCCUCACCUAACUCUCUCAAAAGGUAACGCGGCUAACGGGCUGUUAUAGGCCCAAUAGGAAGAACUAAGUGCCGAGCAUUGGGCUCGUGUGAAGUUGAAGCCCAAACAACAAGAUCUAUGAUAUACGUUUCUUAGAAGAUGAAAUCCAUUGUCCAAAAGAUGAACCCAAAAAUUUUGAUUGUCACCGCAGAUGAAACUCCUAGAAACAUUACGAACUUUCAGGGGAAGAUUGGCUUACAUGAACGUAGCUACCGUGUGAGAUGGAUAGUGUUGCCGAUUGAGUUCUGUAAGGAAGGAAGACAAUG
RNAcentral lists this long non-coding RNA (6442 nucleotides) under Brassica rapa (field mustard). RNAcentral's name for it is "long non-coding RNA (BRAP_LNC005029)". The record is from RNAcentral. Lineage: Eukaryota; Viridiplantae; Streptophyta; Magnoliopsida; Brassicales; Brassicaceae.